AGAGUUUGAUCCUGGCUCAGAUUGAACGCUGGCGGCGUGCCUAACACAUGCAAGUCGAGCGGUAACAGGUGUAGCAAUACAUGCUGACGAGCGGCGAACGGGUGAGUAAUGCUUCGGAAUCUACCUUAUGGUGGGGAAUAACUAGCCGAAAGGUUAGCUAAUACCGCAUACGUCCUACGGGAGAAAGCAGGGGAUCGUAAGACCUUGCGCCAAAAGAUGAGCCGAAGUCGGAUUAGCUAGUUGGUAGGGUAACGGCCUACCAAGGCGACGAUCCGUAGCUGGUCUGAGAGGACGACCAGCCACACUGGGACUGAGACACGGCCCAGACUCCUACGGGAGGCAGCAGUGGGGAAUAUUGGACAAUGGGGGAAACCCUGAUCCAGCGACGCCGCGUGUGUGAAGAAGGCCUGCGGGUUGUAAAGCACUUUUAGUGGGGAUGAAAUGUGCAGGGUUAAUACCUCUGCAUUUUGACCUAACCCACAGAAAAAGCACCGGCUAACUCUGUGCCAGCAGCCGCGGUAAUACAGAGGGUGCAAGCGUUAAUCGGAAUUACUGGGCGUAAAGCGUGCGUAGACGGUUACAUAAGUCGGGUGUGAAAGCCCCGGGCUCAACCUGGGAAUUGCAUUCGAGACUGCGUAGCUAGGGUGCGGAAGAGGGAAGCGGAAUUUCCGGUGUAGCGGUGAAAUGCGUAGAUAUCGGAAGGAACACCAGUGGCGAAAGCGGCUUCCUGGUCCAGCACCGACGUUCAGGCACGAAAGCGUGGGGAGCAAACAGGAUUAGAUACCCUAGUAGUCC
RNAcentral lists this ribosomal RNA (795 nucleotides) under uncultured bacterium. Its description in RNAcentral is "bacterial SSU rRNA". It matches the Rfam family "Bacterial small subunit ribosomal RNA", at positions 8 to 796 of the family's 1533-position model. The record is from RNAcentral.